Molecule: ribosomal RNA, 425 nt
Filed under: uncultured bacterium
Lineage: Bacteria
Description: partial 16S ribosomal RNA
Rfam family: Bacterial small subunit ribosomal RNA
Source: RNAcentral
GUGGGGAAUAUUGGACAAUGGGCGCAAGCCUGAUCCAGCCAUGCCGCGUGAGUGAUGAAGGCCCUAGGGUUGUAAAGCUCUUUCACCGGUGAAGAUAAUGACGGUAACCGGAGAAGAAGCCCCGGCUAACUUCGUGCCAGCAGCCGCGGUAAUACGAAGGGGGCUAGCGUUGUUCGGAAUUACUGGGCGUAAAGCGCACGUAGGCGGACAUUUAAGUCAGGGGUGAAAUCCCAGAGCUCAACUCUGGAACUGCCUUUGAUACUGGGUGGCUUGAGUAUGGAAGAUGUAAGUGGAAUUCCGAGUGUAGAGGUGAAAUUCGUAGAUAUUCGGAGGAACACCAGUGGCGAAGGCGGCUUACUGGUCCAUUACUGACGCUGAGGUGCGAAAGCGUGGGGAGCAAACAGGAUUAGAAACCCUUGUAGUCC